Molecule: ribosomal RNA, 758 nt
Filed under: uncultured Prevotella sp.
Lineage: Bacteria; Pseudomonadati; Bacteroidota; Bacteroidia; Bacteroidales; Prevotellaceae
Description: bacterial SSU rRNA
Rfam family: Bacterial small subunit ribosomal RNA
Source: RNAcentral
GAUGAACGCUAGCUACAGGCUUAACACAUGCAAGUCGAGGGGCAGCGGGCUGAAAGCUUGCUUUCAAUGCCGGCGACCGGCGCACGGGUGCGUAACGCGUAUCAAACCUGCCUCAUACUCGGGGAUAGCCUUGCGAAAGUAAGAUUAAUACCCGAUGUUGUUGCUUUCUCGCAUGGGAGAGUAACCAAAGAUUUAUCGGUAUGAGAUGGUGAUGCGUCCGAUUAGGUAGUAGGCGGGGUAACGGCCCACCUAGCCUUCGAUCGGUAGGGGUUCUGAGAGGAAGGUCCCCCACACUGGAACUGAGACACGGUCCAGACUCCUACGGGAGGCAGCAGUGAGGAAUAUUGGUCAAUGGGCGAGAGCCUGAACCAGCCAAGUAGCGUGCAGGAUGACGGCCCUCCGGGUUGUAAACUGCUUUUAGUUGGGAAUAAAAAAAGGGACUUGUCCCUUCUUGUAUGUACCUUCAGAAAAAGGACCGGCUAAUUCCGUGCCAGCAGCCGCGGUAAUACGGAAGGUCCAGGCGUUAUCCGGAUUUAUUGGGUUUAAAGGGAGCGUAGGCGGAUUGUUAAGUCAGCGGUUAAAGGGUGUGGCUCAACCAUGCAUUGCCGUUGAAACUGGCGAUCUUGAGUGCAGACAGGGAUGCCGGAAUUCGUGGUGUAGCGGUGAAAUGCUUAGAUAUCACGAAGAACUCCGAUCGCGAAGGCAGGUGUCCGGGCUGCAACUGACGCUGAGGCUCGAAAGUGUGGGUAUCAAACAGG